This 500-nucleotide ribosomal RNA is filed under the name uncultured bacterium. RNAcentral's name for it is "partial 16S ribosomal RNA". It matches the Rfam family "Bacterial small subunit ribosomal RNA", at positions 28 to 523 of the family's 1533-position model. The record is from RNAcentral.
GAUGAACGCUAGCGGCAGGCUUAAUACAUGCAAGUCGUGGGGCAGCAUGAGUAGCAAUACUUGAUGGCGACCGGCAAACGGGUGCGGAACACGUACACAACCUUCCGAUAAGUGGGGAAUAGCCCAGAGAAAUUUGGAUUAAUACCCCGUAACAUAUAGAGUAGGCAUCUUCUUUAUAUUAUAGCUUCGGCGCUUAUUGAUGGGUGUGCGUCUGAUUAGGUAGUUGGCGGGGUAACGGCCCACCAAGCCUACGAUCAGUAGCUGAUGUGAGAGCAUGAUCAGCCACAAGGGCAAUGAGACACGGGCCCGACUACUACGAGAGGCAGCAGUAAGGAAUAUUGGACAAUGGGCGAAAGCCUGAUCCAGCCAUGCCGCGUGAAGGAUUAAGGUCCUCUGGAUUGUAAACUUCUUUUAUUUGGGACGAAAAAGGGUCUUUCUAGACCAACUGACGGUACCAGAUGAAUAAGCACCGGCUAACUCCGUGCCAGCCGCCGCAGUAA